This 421-nucleotide ribosomal RNA is filed under the name uncultured bacterium. RNAcentral describes it as "bacterial SSU rRNA". It matches the Rfam family "Bacterial small subunit ribosomal RNA", at positions 356 to 774 of the family's 1533-position model. The record is from RNAcentral.
AAGGAAUAUUGGACAAUGGAGGCAACUCUGAUCCAGCCAUGCCGCGUGAAGGAAUAAGGCCCUAUGGGUUGUAAACUUCUUUUAGACGGGACAAAACCCCUUUACGUGUAAAGGGUUGAUGGUACUGUCAGAAUAAGCACCGGCUAACUUCGUGCCAGCAGCCGCGGUAAUACGAAGGAUGCAAGCGUUAUCCGGAAUUAUUGGGUUUAAAGGGUGCGUAGGCGGACUAAUAAGUCAGUGGUGAAAGCCUGCAGCUUAACUGCAGAAUUGCCAUUGAUACUGUUAGUCUUGAGUACAGUUGAGGUAGGCGGAAUGUGUCAUGUAGCGGUGAAAUGCUUAGAUAUGACACAGAACACCGAUUGCGAAGGCAGCUUGCUAAGCUGUAACUGACGCUGAGGCACGAAAGCGUGGGGAGCAAACA